UUUACGGGACAAAUGCUUUGCAUUUGAACGUUGGCUAUGCCAACGGCUCCAAAGGAGCGAGCGUAAGCGAGUAUUGGGAGGAGAAAAUCCUUAG
Molecule: non-coding RNA, 94 nt
Filed under: Pasteurellaceae bacterium 15-036681
Lineage: Bacteria; Pseudomonadati; Pseudomonadota; Gammaproteobacteria; Pasteurellales; Pasteurellaceae
Description: Aggregatibacter sRNA 22
Rfam family: Aggregatibacter sRNA 22
Source: Rfam by way of RNAcentral